This 497-nucleotide ribosomal RNA is filed under the name uncultured bacterium. RNAcentral's name for it is "partial 16S ribosomal RNA". It matches the Rfam family "Bacterial small subunit ribosomal RNA", at positions 28 to 507 of the family's 1533-position model. The record is from RNAcentral.
GAUGAACGCUGGCGGCGUGCCUAAUACAUGCAAGUCGAGCGAACAGACGAGGAGCUUGCUCCUCUGACGUUAGCGGCGGACGGGUGAGUAACACGUGGAUAACCUACCUAUAAGACUGGGAUAACUUCGGGAAACCGGAGCUAAUACCGGAUAAUAUAUUGAACCGCAUGGUUCAAUAGUGAAAGACGGUUUUGCUGUCACUUAUAGAUGGAUCCGCGCCGCAUUAGCUAGUUGGUAAGGUAACGGCUUACCAAGGCAACGAUGCGUAGCCGACCUGAGAGGGUGAUAGGCCACACUGGAACUGAGACACGGUCCAGACUCCUAAGGGAGGCAGCAGUAGGGAAUCUUCCGCAAUGGGCGAAAGCUUGACGGAGCAACGCCGCGUGAGUGAUGAAGGUCUUCGGAUCGUAAAACUCUGUUAUUAGGGAAGAACAAAUGUGUAAGUAACUAUGCACGUCUUGACGGUACCUAAUCAGAAAGCCACGGCUAACUACGUG